This 84-nucleotide non-coding RNA is filed under the name Minutocellus polymorphus. Lineage: Eukaryota; Bacillariophyta; Thalassiosirophyceae; Cymatosirales; Cymatosiraceae. The record is from RNAcentral.
CCUGAAUGAAUGAAAGGGGAAAGAAAAAGAAAAAAACAGAAAAGGAACAUCUUAUGCGGCCUUUUGCUGCUUUAUCGUAUCUUU